GAUGAACGCUGGCGGCGUGCUUAAUACAUGCAAGUCGAGCGGACAGACGCGGAUUUUGCUGCGUGGUCGUUUGCCGAGCGGGUGUGUGAAACGUGAGUAACAUGCCCCUGACAGUGUGAUAUCUUCUGGGGAAUGCGGCGCUUACCGGGUAUAAGCUUCUGCUGCACAUGGUUGAAUAGUGAAAUUCGGCGGUUGGGGAAGGACUCGAGGGUUAUCCGCUUGUUGGUGGGGUAGUGGCGUACCAAGGCUUGGACGGGUAGCCGGCAUGAGAGGGUGACCGGCAACAUUGGGACUGAGAUACGGCCCAGACUCCUACGGGAGGCAGCAGUGGGGAAUAUUGCACAAUGGGCGGAAGCCUGAUGCAGCAACGCCGCGUGCGGGAUGACGGCCUUCGGGUUGUAAACCGCUUUCGCCUGUGACGAAGCGUGAGUGACGGUAAUGGGUAAAGAAGCACCGGCUAACUACGUG
This 468-nucleotide ribosomal RNA is filed under the name uncultured bacterium. Its description in RNAcentral is "partial 16S ribosomal RNA". It matches the Rfam family "Bacterial small subunit ribosomal RNA", at positions 28 to 507 of the family's 1533-position model. The record is from RNAcentral.